UCAAGCAUUUUCCCAUUUACUUUAGUCAGACACAGCCUGUUCACUGUGAGCAUUCAGCCUACCCCGAUGGUCUCCUGGUAGACAUGGAUUACAAACUGCAUCCCACCUUUUGAUCACUAGUUUCACAGGUCAAACCCAGGUUUAAGAGCAGAUUUCUUGAGGCAAGAAACUGCACAUAGAGCUCACAGAAAACAAGAACAAAAUGGAAUUCAAACAAACGAUGUGGGCCAGAGCGGUAAUACUUUACUGCGGCGUGGUAUUCCUCUACCACCAGGCCUUAGCAGUGGAUACCUACAUGGCUGAGUUCAUGGUAGAGAGCAAUGUUACAUUUGACAUCUCUGGUACUCUAUCAUCGAUCAAGGAAAUAACUACAGAUAAUGGAAGUAUGACCAUUGAACUGCUUGAACUAACAGCGGAAUGUGAAAUUGUUGGGGGUAAUUCUAAAUGUAACUGUUCGACAACCUACAUCUGGAGCAACGCAGUGUGUGACGAGUUCCAGUGCUGCAAUGGCUCGUCUUGUUAUGCAAAUAUUUCUGACUUGCCAGCCUUCUGUAUUCCCAAAGUGAAAGGUAUUAUUGUUGAUACUUAUUUUUACUUCCAGUAUUUGAUAUGAUCAAUAGGAUGGAUAACACUGUUG
This 637-nucleotide long non-coding RNA is filed under the name Oncorhynchus kisutch (coho salmon). RNAcentral's name for it is "lncRNA (ENSOKIG00005006249.1)". Lineage: Eukaryota; Metazoa; Chordata; Actinopteri; Salmoniformes; Salmonidae. The record is from RNAcentral.